GGCGCCAGCCCACAGGAAGGGGCGGGGAUAGCACCUAGGAGCUGGGCAUAGAGAGGUGGGGCCUAGGCCCCGGCUUGUGGCCGACCCCGCCCAUCCUCGAGCAGGUACCAGGGCCACGUGGGUGCAUCGCUGAUCGUGGGCGGCGUAGACCUGACUGGACCGCAGCUCUACGGCGUGCAUCCCCAUGGCUCCUACAGCCGUCUGCCCUUCACAGCCCUGGGCUCUGGUCAGGACGCGGCCCUGGCGGUGCUAGAAGACCGGUUCCAGCCGAACAUGACGCUGGAGGCUGCUCAGG
Molecule: long non-coding RNA, 295 nt
Filed under: Pan troglodytes (chimpanzee)
Lineage: Eukaryota; Metazoa; Chordata; Mammalia; Primates; Hominidae
Description: long non-coding RNA NONPTRT006369
Source: RNAcentral